RNAcentral lists this small nucleolar RNA (78 nucleotides) under Carlito syrichta (Philippine tarsier). The record is from RNAcentral. Lineage: Eukaryota; Metazoa; Chordata; Mammalia; Primates; Tarsiidae.
AAUGUAUGAUGACAACUUGGACAUGCUGCAGAGUCCUGAGUGUGCAGUGGGAAAUGUAACAUGGGAGAGCUAGGUGUG